This 494-nucleotide ribosomal RNA is filed under the name uncultured bacterium. RNAcentral describes it as "partial 16S ribosomal RNA". It matches the Rfam family "Bacterial small subunit ribosomal RNA", at positions 28 to 507 of the family's 1533-position model. The record is from RNAcentral.
GACGAACGCUGGCGGCGUGCUUAACACAUGCAAGUCGAACGGUCAAACGCCUUGCUUUCUGGUGGGUGGGGAGGGGCGGCGGACGGGGUAGCAAGACGAUAGCAACCUGCUCCCUCCUGCUGGAUAACCGCAAGAAGGUGUGGCUAAUACGGGAUAUUCUGAGCCUGUCGCAUGAAGGGUCUAGGACAGAUUUUGUUUCGGUUGGGGAUGGGGUCGCGGCUUAUCAGCUUGUUGGUGGGGUGAUGGCCUACCAAGGCGGUGACGGGUAGCCGGCCUGAGAGGGUGGACGGCCACAGUGGGGCUGAGACACGGACAAGACUACUGCGGGCGGCAGCAGGAGGGAAUAUGGCACGAGGGGAGCACGGCUGAUGCAGCGACGCGGCGUGAGAGAUGGAGGCCUUCGCGUUGUGAACCUCUUUCGCCAGUGAAGCAGGCCUGCCUCGUUUGUGGGUGGGUUGACGGUAGCUAGAUAAGAAGCGCCGGCUAACUACGUG